Molecule: non-coding RNA, 776 nt
Organism: Microcebus murinus (gray mouse lemur)
Lineage: Eukaryota; Metazoa; Chordata; Mammalia; Primates; Cheirogaleidae
Source: RefSeq, a predicted model, not a curated record
AGAUGGUGGGUCAGCCGGGAAUGGAGAGUCUAGAAUAAUCUGUUGAAUUGUAUUUUCUAAAUACAGCCAGACAAAUAUAUAUUUUGUUCCUUAAGCUGUCCUAACCAUGUGAUAUUGAUACUCCUACACAUAUUAGGGGUCCAUGUUUCCUCCCAUUAGAUCUAGGUGUGCCUGUCCUAGAGGCAUGAUUUCCAAGGUUAGGUUAAAUAAGGAUAUAUACAGUCUCUUUCUGGCUUUGUUUCUUAAGACAUCCAUUUUAACCAACCAACUAUACUAAGAGGAAGCCCUAACCGUCUUGCACAGAAAAACAACAUGAAGAGCCCCCAUGAAGAAGAACUGACACACCCAAAGAGAAAGAAUAAUUGCAAUUUUUCCCUGUCAAAGAUGAAUGUAGCUUGGGAUCCUGAAUAUUAUCUUUGGACCAUCUGACUUUCAAGCCCUUUCCUAGGGUUUUGCUGCCUUGUUGUUGCUGGAUGAAAGAAUUGGGAAGAGUCAAAAAUGAAUAAGGCUAAUUAAUACUCUUGUGACAUUUGGAUGUUCUUUUUCUCAUAUCAAGGAGUCUAUAUUCCUAUAUUUUUAUAUGGAUUAGUGGCAAAUUUGGCCAGGUCUCUCCUGUCUUGCCCUAAUGAGGGAAUGAAUUUCCAUCUAUUUGCUAACAAUUUUUUUUAGACUUUAAGUCCAAUAAAGUGAGGCUUAAUAGUAUAUUGUUGCCUUUCCUCCAAUCAUGAAUAGGUAUUCCAUUGGCAGACUGUUCCCACACACAUUAUAAAUAACAA